AGCAGUAGCCGCGGUAAUACGGAGGGUGCAAGCGUUAAUCGGAAUUACUGGGCGUAAAGCGCACGCAGGCGGUCUGUCAAGUCGGAUGUGAAAUCCCUGAGCUUAACUUAGGAAUUGCAUUCGAUACUGGGAAGCUAGAGUAUGGGAGAGGAUGGUAGAAUUCCAGGUGUAGCGGUGAAAUGCGUAGAGAUCUGGAGGAAUACCGAUGGCGAAGGCAGCCAUCUGGCCUAAUACUGACGCUGAGGUACGAAAGCAUGGGGAGCAAACAGGAUUAGAUACCCGCGUAGUCCCUGUCUCUUAUAA
Molecule: ribosomal RNA, 303 nt
Filed under: uncultured bacterium
Lineage: Bacteria
Description: partial 16S ribosomal RNA
Rfam family: Bacterial small subunit ribosomal RNA
Source: RNAcentral